Molecule: long non-coding RNA, 255 nt
Organism: Anguilla anguilla (European eel)
Lineage: Eukaryota; Metazoa; Chordata; Actinopteri; Anguilliformes; Anguillidae
Exons: 3
Source: RefSeq, a predicted model, not a curated record
UCUCCCCAGCUCCUUCUUCGUCGGUCCAGACUUGCGGAGAGCCAGUCAACUGAAGUGAAAACAUGCUUGAAGAAUGUGGAAACCCACACAGCUUCCAUACCGGACCAGAGGAGCCCUGGCUGGAGAGGAGCCUGGAUCCUGCUCAAGAUGGCAGCCUGGAGAAGAGGGUGGUUUGCAGUUUAUGAUGAGCAGGUUGGAGAAAGUGCAGCGGAGUUAAGUGGCUCCUGGUUGAGCCAAUCUGCACAAAGGCUGUAA